RNAcentral lists this ribosomal RNA (498 nucleotides) under uncultured bacterium. RNAcentral's name for it is "partial 16S ribosomal RNA". It matches the Rfam family "Bacterial small subunit ribosomal RNA", at positions 28 to 507 of the family's 1533-position model. The record is from RNAcentral.
GACGAACGCUGGCGGCGUGCCUAAUACAUGCAAGUCGAACGAGAGCGACCGGUGCUUGCACUGGUCAAUCUAGUGGCGAACGGGUGAGUAACACGUGGGUAACCUGCCCAUCAGAGGGGGAUAACAUCCGGAAACGGAUGCUAAAACCGCAUAGGUCUUCGAACCGCAUGGUUUGAAGAGGAAAAGAGGCGCAAGCUUCUGCUGAUGGAUGGACCCGCGGUGCAUUAGCUAGUUGGUGAGGUAACGGCUCACCAAGGCCGUGAUGCAUAGCCGACCUGAGAGGGUGAUCGGACACAUUGGGACUGAGACACGGCCCAAACUCCUACGGGAGGCAGCAGUAGGGAAUCUUCCGCAAUGGACGCAAGUCUGACGGAGCAACGCCGCGUGAGUGAAGAAGGUUUUCGGAUCGUAAAACUCUGUUGUUAGAGAAGAACAAGUGCUAGAGUAACUGUUAGCGCCUUGACGGUAUCUAACCAGAAAGCCACGGCUAACUACGUG